UGUCUUGGGCAGGCACCGAGGCAUCUGCUCUGCACCAGGUCUGGUGUGCCAGCAAAGAGGGGAAUUGAGACAAUAGCAGCAGCAAUGCCAAGCAGCUUUCCAUCGCUGCGUUGCCAUCUGAUGGAGGAAUCCACGUGUUCAGCCCAAAAACCAAAGAAGAUUGGGAAGUUGGGCCCCCGAGGGAAAUGAACCUCUGUGUCCUGGACGUCUGGUGUCACCUGUGAUGCAGAAGCAUUGUCCCUUCCUGGUGUGUGUCGGACACUUCUUGUGACCACAGCCACUCCAGCUGAGGUUAGGGAAGGGAAAUGGCUUGGUGCAAACUGGUUGGUGAAGGCAAAAAAGGAUUAUACUUCCUCUGGUUUGCUGAGAAGAUGAGGUUGAAUCCAUCCAGACCUCCCCCACUUCCUUCUGGGAGAGGACAGCAGGAGAGAAUGUUGAUACAACAGUGGAGGAGAAAGGCAGAGGAAGGCAACAAGUGCAAUGGUAAGGGAAAGUCCUCCCAGGCAGGAAUUGCAAGCAGGAAUGAGCCUCUGGCCAAACCAUGAUCUCAGCCUUCUCCUGAGAGAGGUGUUGAGAAAUUUUAGCACCUAGAGGGCUGGAAAGCAGCAGCCUGAUGUUGAGGGGUGAAGAGUAAGGGCUGUGUGAAAGGACAGGCACUACCCUGCCAUGAACUAUCAAGAAAUGGAACUUCUCCUGGGGCGAAAGAAAGGUGAGAAAACAGAGGUGUUCUCCCUCCCUGAGUGAGUCUGACAGCCAUAUGGUGUAAGAAUUGUUGUCAUCAUAAUUAAUUCCUUUUUGACAUUGCUCUGGCAGAUGUCCACGGGUCUGCGGGAGCAGGGCUGUCCUCUCAGCAGCUGCAAAGAAGUGGAGUGAGAAAUAAGUGGCAGGGAGGGCUGGUUCCUUUUGUUUUGCAGGCUAGCUGGGCUUGCAUGAGAAAGGACCAUCUCUGAGGCUGGGUGGAUGCUUCUGUCUCUGGCACUGCAGGCUAUCAGAGGGACAGGAACUCCAUUUUCUCACACUGUCACUCCAGCACUGGACUGCACCAAGGUUGCUGAAGUUGAUGCUUUAAUAUAAAGCAACCUGUGCAUUGCAAGAAGGGAACUAAGCCAAAUGAGAGCGCCUAUCUCAGGUAAACAUAACCCUCGUGUCCAGCAGUCAUUUGACACUGUCUGCUAAAAUACCUCUACCUCCAGUUUAAAAUCACCUGAAGUGAGGGUUUUGACCUGCUGGGCACUAAGGUUACAGCUCCAGAGGGUAAAUGCAUAUGGUUUCCCACUCUUGCUGCCUUUUGUACCCUCUGUAAAGAAGGGUUCUUCAUGAAGCUGAAGGGGGAGAAGAAAGGCACUUUCAGAUAGUCUAACCUUUCUGUUUCUAGUGUAUCAUCACCAUUAAUCCCCAUCUCUGGAUUUCUGUGUACUGCCAUGGUCCUGGCUCCCUGUGUUGUGUAGUAAAGGGCAGCCAGGGAGGCACGUAGGUGGUGAUUGUAGAAUUUCUGCUGUGCUUUCCAUGUCAUGCUCCUGGGGGCAUGACCUGUAAUUGUGUGAUGGUUUGGGGUUGGUUUCAGCUGCACCCCAGACUUGAGACAGCUGUUAUAGGCCUGGAAAUCCUGAGUGCAUGUGGAGAACUCAUCCCUUGAGGGCACACACAGGGGACCAACAGCAGUCUUGCCUUGGCUGAGCUCCCAUUGUAUAGAGUUUUUUUAAACUUAUAGAAGAGAUGGAUUACUGAUUUUUUUAAAUGGCUGGUUCUUCAAAGGAGUCCAGUUUUCUACCUUUCAUACCGAGGAUUUCCCUUUUGUGACUUGAAGCAGGGAUUUUAUUUUCCCUUCCCUUCGUGUAAUUCCUGUUUAUUACACAACCUCUCCUUAUUGACAUAGCAUCUUUAGCUUAUGCAUCAUUUAUUGGUAUCUGAACAGUUACUGGAAAGCGUUCCUGGGUAAGCUCUAGGGAGGCACGGUUGCCUCACUA
This is a long non-coding RNA of Passer domesticus (house sparrow), 1967 nucleotides long. RefSeq lists it as uncharacterized. The transcript has 3 exons. The record is from RefSeq and is a predicted model, not a curated record. Lineage: Eukaryota; Metazoa; Chordata; Aves; Passeriformes; Passeridae.